UGUCGAUAAAGGCAAACCUUCCGAAAGGGAGGGGCGCAAAGCAAUGGGUCUAAGCCUCACCAGGGGUACGACUGCCAGGCUGCCGAA
Non-coding RNA from Firmicutes bacterium ML8_F2, 87 nucleotides. The record is from Rfam. NCBI's taxonomy places the organism in Bacteria, Bacillati, Bacillota.